UGGGGAAUAUUGCACAAUGGGGGAAAGACCCUGAUGCAGCGACGCCGCGUGAAGGAAGAAGUAUUUCGGUAUGUAAAGCUCUAUCAGCAGGGAAGAAUUAGGACGGUACCUGACUAAGAAGCCCCGGCUAACUACGUGCCAGCAGCCGCGGUAAUACGUAGGGGGCAAGCGUUAUCCGGAUUUACUGGGUGUAAAGGGAGCGUAGACGGAUCUGCAAGUCUGGAGUGAAAGCCCGGGGCUCAACCCCGGGCACUGCUUUGGAAAUCUGUGGAUCUAGAGUGCCGGAGAGGUAAGCGGAAUUCCUAGUGUAGCGGUGAAAUGCGUAGAUAUUAGGAGGAACACCAGUGGCGAAGGCGGCUUACUGGACGGUAACUGACGUUGAGGCUCGAAAGCGUGGGGAGCAAACAGGAUUAGAUACCC
RNAcentral lists this ribosomal RNA (420 nucleotides) under uncultured bacterium. Its description in RNAcentral is "bacterial SSU rRNA". It matches the Rfam family "Bacterial small subunit ribosomal RNA", at positions 355 to 787 of the family's 1533-position model. The record is from RNAcentral.